AAGACGAACUGUGCGAACGUUAUUCGGAAUCACUGGGCUUACAGGGUGCGUAGGCGGCCUGUUAAGUAGGGUGUGAAAUCCCCCGGCCCAACCGGGGAAUGGCGCUCUAAACUAGCAGGCUUGAGUGAGCUAGGGGUGCAUGGAACUUCCAGUGGAGCGGUGAAAUGUGUUGAUAUUGGAAGGAACACCGGAGGCGAAAGCGAUGCACUGGGGCUUAACUGACGCUGAGGCACGAAAGCCAGGGUAGCGAACGGGA
RNAcentral lists this ribosomal RNA (256 nucleotides) under uncultured prokaryote. RNAcentral's name for it is "partial 16S ribosomal RNA". It matches the Rfam family "Bacterial small subunit ribosomal RNA", at positions 522 to 777 of the family's 1533-position model. The record is from RNAcentral.